CUUACACUCGAGAGAACGAUAAGCGCGACGAACACCGUGGUUCGUUCGCUGGGUGGAAUUGCGUUCGUAGAAUUGUUACGGGCUGCUGAUGGCGAGGGAACCACGCGACCGAGUUUGCGCGCUCGACCGACUUUCUCCCCUUCGACUGACUGCUCUCACUUUCGUUCGGGGUCGCGCCAACUGACACUGCUGAACAAGAGCAGUAUCGACGACCGCGAGAGGAACGCGGCUAACGGAGGACGAACCGCGAGAUACGCAAGUCGCGCAAGCGCCGCGACGCCACGCGCCCUGCUGCCCUAACAUUCGGACAUCGGAGCUUUCACUCUCUGGGGAUGGAAAAUUGAAAUUCCGCGUUGAAGACCACUUUCAUCUUUGCUUUAAAAGAGCUGACCUUCUAGCGCGACAAGACCCGCGAAGAUCGAUGAAAAAUAGUAGAGCGAGAAAGUGUCACCGCAGGUCUCUUUCAUCCUCCAGAAGAGCUUCGAAAGUAUGUACUCUGAAUCGUAAGGAACUGAUAGUGUUUCGUAAAAAUGUUGUUUCGUUCCUAGAUAUCGUAUGCACGACGCGUAAAAAACAAAUCGUUCUUUCAUAAGAACAGCUUAAAAAGAGUUAAACUCGAAACGUGUAUAUCACCCGUUUCAUAAUUACGAUAUGGCUUGCGCUUCGGGCUUACGAUAUUCCGAGUUGCGAAACAUAAAUUGGCGCGUUCAAAAAAUUUGGCACGUCGCGAAUCGCGCACGCUUUUCUGCCUGCAUAAACAAUUUCUCGUCCACUCAGCAAUAAUACCGAUGCAAUGAACGUCAUAUUAUUCGUUUCGUUUAAACACGAGGUUUUUCGCUCACCGUUUAUCCUCGAUAAAAGUUUCCCUUCCGCGACUUAGAGCGUGUCUCAUAACCGCAUCGAUUUCGAAUUUUCCGCGACGAUAAAACCGACGCGACAAAAAUCGGGCAGAUACUCCGGGGAGCGAUAAACCGCAAACCAAAUCCGGAAGCAAGCAGCAGAAUGCUCAGCAAAAAGAGAAGAGGGGAAAAUGAAAUCUGGUUUGUCUCGCACAAUUGAACUAACAUUCGUAAAAUUCUAUAUCAUUCGUGAAAUUUUACGAAUCAUCUUUAUUAAUAAAUAUUUUCACAUAUCGUUACCAAGUUUGCUAACGAAACAGAUGAAAGGGUAAGUUGUAUAAAUUU
This 1184-nucleotide unclassified non-coding RNA is filed under the name Bombus terrestris (buff-tailed bumblebee). RNAcentral's name for it is "misc RNA ENSBTSG00005037014.1". The record is from RNAcentral. Lineage: Eukaryota; Metazoa; Arthropoda; Insecta; Hymenoptera; Apidae.